This 253-nucleotide ribosomal RNA is filed under the name uncultured bacterium. Its description in RNAcentral is "partial 16S ribosomal RNA". It matches the Rfam family "Bacterial small subunit ribosomal RNA", at positions 524 to 776 of the family's 1533-position model. The record is from RNAcentral.
UACAGAGGGUGCGAGCGUUAAUCGGAGUUACUGGGCGUAAAGGGCGCGUAGGCGGUAAGAUGUGUGUGAUGUGAAAGCCCCGGGCUUAACCUGGGAAGUGCAUCGCAAACUAUCUAACUGGAGUAUAUGAGAGGGUGGCGGAAUUUCCGGUGUAGCGGUGAAAUGCUUAGAUAUGACACAGAACACCGAUCGCGAAGGCAGCUAACGAAGCUAUUAUUGACGCUCAGGCACGACAGCAUGGGGAGCAAACAGG